CAGCUAGUUGGCGGGGUAAUGGCCCACCAAGGCAAAGAUCGGUAGCCGGCCUGAGAGGGCGCACGGCCACACUGGAACUGAAACACGGUCCAGACUCCUACGGGAGGCAGCAGUGGGGAAUUUUGCGCAAUGGGGGAAACCCUGACGCAGCAACGCCGCGUGGAGGAUGAAGUCCCUUGGGACGUAAACUCCUUUCGACCCGGACGAUAAUGACGGUACGGGUGGAAAAAGCCCCGGCUAACUUCGUGCCAGCAGCCGCGGUAAUACAAGGGGGGCAAGCGUUGUUCGGAAUUAUUGGGCGUAAAGGGCGCGUAGGCGGUGCGGUAAGUCACCUGUGAAACCUCUAGGCUCAACCUAAAGCCUGCAGGCAAAACUGCCGUGC
This 382-nucleotide ribosomal RNA is filed under the name uncultured Acidobacteriota bacterium. RNAcentral's name for it is "SSU rRNA". It matches the Rfam family "Bacterial small subunit ribosomal RNA", at positions 242 to 641 of the family's 1533-position model. The record is from RNAcentral. Lineage: Bacteria; Pseudomonadati; Acidobacteriota.